GCCCCGGUAGCUCAGAGCGCACGCUUGGUAAGCGUGAGGUCCCGGGUUCAAUUCCCGCCCGGGGCU
This 66-nucleotide transfer RNA is filed under the name Hadesarchaea archaeon. Its description in RNAcentral is "tRNA-Thr". It matches the Rfam family "tRNA". Rfam says of the family: Transfer RNA (tRNA) molecules are approximately 80 nucleotides in length. Their secondary structure includes four short double-helical elements and three loops (D, anti-codon, and T loops). Lineage: Archaea; Methanobacteriati; Hadarchaeota (SeqCode); Hadarchaeia (SeqCode). The record is from RNAcentral.